AGCAGUCGCCGCGGUAAUACGAAGGGUGCAAGCGUUAAUCGGAAUUACUGGGCGUAAAGCGUGCGUAGGCGGUGAGUUAAGUCUGAUGUGAAAUCCCUGGGCUCAACCUAGGAAUGGCAGUGGAUACUGGCUCGCUAGAGUGUGUCAGAGGAUGGUGGAAUUCCCGGUGUAGCGGUGAAAUGCGUAGAGAUCGGGAGGAACAUCAGUGGCGAAGGCAGCCAUCUGGGACAACACUGACGCUGAGGUACGAAAGCGUGGGGAGCAAACAGGAUUAGAUACCCGGGUAGUCCCUGUCUCUUAUAA
This 303-nucleotide ribosomal RNA is filed under the name uncultured bacterium. RNAcentral's name for it is "partial 16S ribosomal RNA". It matches the Rfam family "Bacterial small subunit ribosomal RNA", at positions 507 to 809 of the family's 1533-position model. The record is from RNAcentral.